Molecule: transfer RNA, 74 nt
Filed under: Candidatus Midichloria mitochondrii IricVA
Lineage: Bacteria; Pseudomonadati; Pseudomonadota; Alphaproteobacteria; Rickettsiales; Candidatus Midichloriaceae
Rfam family: tRNA
About the family: Transfer RNA (tRNA) molecules are approximately 80 nucleotides in length. Their secondary structure includes four short double-helical elements and three loops (D, anti-codon, and T loops). Further hydrogen bonds mediate the characteristic L-shaped molecular structure. tRNAs have two regions of fundamental functional importance: the anti-codon, which is responsible for specific mRNA codon recognition, and the 3' end, to which the tRNAs corresponding amino acid is attached (by aminoacyl-tRNA synthetases). tRNAs cope with the degeneracy of the genetic code in two manners: having more than one tRNA (with a specific anti-codon) for a particular amino acid; and 'wobble' base-pairing, i.e. permitting non-standard base-pairing at the 3rd anti-codon position.
Source: Rfam by way of RNAcentral
CGGGGCAUGGCGCAGUCCGGUAGCGCAUCUGGUUUGGGACCAGAGGGUCGGGAGUUCGAAUCUCUCUGCCCCGA